GGCUCAGAACGAACGCUGGCGGCGUGCUUAACACAUGCAAGUCGAACGAAGCGACUUAUUACGAUCCUUCGGGGUGACGAUUGUUGACUGAGUGGCAGACGGGUGAGUAACGCGUGGGUAACCUGCCUUGUACAGGGGGACAACAGUUGGAAACGACUGCUAAUACCGCAUAAGCGCACAGCUUCGCAUGAAGCAGUGUGAAAAGUAUUUUCGGUACAAGAUGGACCCGCGUCUGAUUAGCUAGUUGGUGAGGUAACGGCCCACCAAGGCGACGAUCAGUAGCCGACCUGAGAGGGUGACCGGCCACAUUGGGACUGAGACACGGCCCAAACUCCUACGGGAGGCAGCAGUGGGGAAUAUUGCACAAUGGGCGAAAGCCUGAUGCAGCGACGCCCGCGUGAGCGAAGAAGUAUUUCGGUAUGUAAAGCUCUAUCAGCAGGGAAGAUAAUGACGGUACCUGACUAAGAAGCACCGGCUAAAUACGUGCCAGCAGCUGC
This 497-nucleotide ribosomal RNA is filed under the name uncultured bacterium. RNAcentral describes it as "bacterial SSU rRNA". It matches the Rfam family "Bacterial small subunit ribosomal RNA", at positions 21 to 518 of the family's 1533-position model. The record is from RNAcentral.